GAACAUCAGAAUGGGAGAUAUAUGUUGCUACUUGCCUUCCACCUUCUCUGAGGAAAAGAGUAAAUAAGAAACACAGUCAUACAAGAGUCUUCAUUCCAGAAGUGAUCUAGGAAUCAUGCUGGAGAAGUUCUGCAACUCUACUUUUUGGAAUUCCUCAUUCCUGGAUAGCCCGGAGGUGGACCUGCCACUUUGUUUUGAGCAAACUGUUCUGGUGUGGAUUCCCUUGGGCUUCCUUUGGCUCCUGGCCCCUUGGCAGUUUCUCUAUGUGUAUAGAUCCAGGACCAAGAAAUCUUCUAUAACCAAACUCUACCUUACUAAGCAGGUGCUUGUUGGGUUUCUUCUUAUUCUGGCAGUCAUAGAUCUGGCCCUUGCACUCACAGAAGACACUGGACAAGCCACAGUCCCUGCCGUUAGAUAUACCAAUCCAAGCCUCUACUUGGGCACAUGGAUCCUGGUUUUGCUGAUCCAACACAGCAGGCGAUGGUGUAUACAGAAGGACUCUUGGUUCCUGUCCGUGUUCUGGAUUCUCUCAAUACUCUGUGGCACUUUCCAGUUUCAGACUCUGAUCCGGACACUCUUAAGGGGCAGCAAUCCUAACCUGGCCUAUUCCUGCGUGUUCCUCAUCUGCUAUACACUCCAGAUCCUGGUCCUGAUCCUUUCAGCAUUUUCAGAAAAAAAUGACUCAUCAAAACAUCCUUCAACCACAGCUUCAUUUCUGAGUAGCAUCACCUUUAGUUGGUAUGACAGCAUUGUUCUGAAAGGCUUCAAGAAACCUCUGACGCUUGAAGAUAUCUGGGAUAUUGAUGAAGAGACUAAAACAAAGACACUAGUCAGCAGGUUUGAAAAGUACAUGGCAGGAGAGCUGCAGAAGGCCCGGCAGGCAUUCCAGAAACGGCAGCAGAAGAACUCCCAGUGGAACCCUGGAGCCAGGCUGCAUGGGUUGGACAAGAACCAGAGUCAAAGCCAAGAUGUCCUUGUCCUGGAAGAAACUAAAAAGAAUAAAAAGAAGUCUGAGGCCACUAAAGACUUCCCCAAGUCCUGGUUGGUGAAAGCCCUCUUCAAAACUUUCUACGUCAUCCUCCUGAAAUCAUUCCUGCUGAAGCUGGUGUAUGACAUCCUCAUGUUCCUGAACCCUCAGCUGCUGAAAUUGCUGAUCUCCUUUGCAAAUGACCAUGACAUAUAUCUGUGGACUGGGUAUCUCUAUUCAAUCCUCUUCUUCGCCGUGGCCCUCAUCCAGUCUGUCUGCCUUCAGUAUUACUUUAAACUGUGCUUUAUGCUGGGCAUGAAAGUACGGACCACCAUCACGGCUUCUGUAUAUAAGAAGGCGCUGACUCUAUCCAACCAGGCCAGGAAGCAGUACACCAUUGGAGAAACAGUGAACCUGAUGUCUGUGGACUCCCAGAAGCUCAUGGACGUGACCAACUUCAUCCAUCUGCUGUGGUCAAAUGUUCUACAGAUUUGCUUGUCCAUCUACUUCCUGUGGGCAGAGUUGGGACCCUCAGUCUUAGCAGGUGUUGGGGUGAUGGUGCUCCUAAUCCCAAUUAAUGGGGUAAUUGCCACCAAGAAUAGGGCUAUUCAGGUUAAAAAUAUGAAGUAUAAAGACAACCGUUUAAAGAUCAUGAAUGAGGUUCUCAGUGGGAUCAAGAUCCUGAAAUAUUUUGCCUGGGAGCCUUCAUUCCAAAACCAAGUCCACGACCUUCGUAAGAAAGAGCUCAGGAACCUGCUGACGUUUGGGCAGUUGCAGUCUGUGAUGAUAUUUCUCUUAUACUUAACUCCGGUGCUGGUGUCUGUGAUCACAUUUUCCGUUUACGUCCUGGUGGAUAGCAAUAAUAUUCUGGAUGCAGAAAAGGCCUUCACCUCCAUCACCCUCUUCAAUAUCCUGCGAUUUCCCAUGAGCAUGCUUCCCAUGAUAGUAUCCACCAUGCUCCAGGCCAGUGUUUCCGUAGAACGGCUAGAGAAAUAUUUGGGAGGGGAUGACUUGGACACAUCUGCCAUUCGACAUGACUGCAAUUUUGAUAAAGCUGUGCAGUUUUCUGAGGCAUCCUUUACCUGGGACCACAAUUCGGAAGUCACAAUCCAAGACGUGAACCUAGACAUUAUGCCAGGCCAACUGGUGGCUGUGGUGGGCACUGUGGGCUCUGGGAAAUCCUCCUUGAUGUCAGCCAUGCUGGGAGAAAUGGAAAAUGUCCACGGGCACAUCACGGUCAAGGGUAUAAAUCUCAGUGGGGGUCAGAAGCAGCGGAUCAGCCUGGCCAGAGCUACCUAUCAAAAUUCAGACAUCUAUAUUCUGGAUGACCCCUUAUCUGCUGUGGAUGCUCAUGUGGGAAAACAUAUUUUUAAUAAGGUCUUGGGUCCCAGUGGCCUGUUGAAAGGCAAGACUCGACUCUUGGUGACACACAGCAUUCACUUUCUUCCCCAAGUGGAUGAGAUUGUGGUUUUGGGGAAUGGCAUCAUCGUGGAGAAGGGAUCCUACAGCACUCUGUUGGCCAAGAAAGGAUUGUUUGCUAAGAAUCUGAAGACAUUCAUAAAACAGACAGGUCCUAAAGACGAGCCCACAGUCAAUGAGGACAGUGAAGAAGAUGACUAUGGGCUGAUGCCCAGUGUGGAGGAAAUCCCUGAAGAUGUGGCCUCCUUGUCCAUGAAAAGAGAGAACAGUCUUCAUCGAACAUUUAGUCGCAGUUCUAGGUCCAGUAGCAGGCGUCUGAAGCCCUUAAAAGACUUGAAAACUCGGAAUGUGAAUAUCCUGAAGGAGGAGGAAGAACCAGUGAAAGGGCAAAAACUAAUUAAGAAGGAAUUCAUACAAACUGGAAAGGUGAAGUUCUCCAUCUACCUGAAAUACCUACAAGCAAUAGGAUGGUGUUCGAUAUUCUUCAUUAUCUUUGGGUUUGUGCUCCAUUCCGUGUCUUUUAUUGGAUCGAACCUCUGGCUCAGUGCUUGGACCCGUGACUCUAAAACCUUCAAUAGCACCAACUAUCCAGCCUCUCAGAGGGACCUGAGAGUUGGUGUCUAUGGAGCUCUGGGAUUAGCACAAGGUAUAUUUGUGCUCAUAGCAAAUCUCUGGAGUGUCUAUGGUUCCGUCCACGCAGCAAGCACUCUUCACAGGCAGCUGCUGAACAAUAUCCUUCGAGUACCCAUGAGUUUUUUUGACACAACACCCACUGGCCGGAUAGUGAACAGGUUUGCUGGCGAUAUCUCCACGGUGGAUGACACCCUCCCCACAUCUUUGCGCAGCUGGAUUUUGUGCUUCCUGGGCAUCAUCAGCACCCUGGUCAUGAUCUGCCUGGCCACUCCAGUCUUCAUCAUCGUCAUCGUCCCUCUUGGCAUCAUUUAUGUGUCUGUUCAGAUAUUUUAUGUGGCUACUUCCCGCCAGCUGAGACGACUGGACUCUGUCACCAGGUCCCCAAUCUACUCUCACUUUAGUGAGACUGUGUCAGGUUUGUCUGUUAUCCGUGCUUUUGAGCACCAGGAGCGAUUUCUAAAGCACAAUGAGAUGGUGACGGACACCAACCAGAAAUGUGUCUUUUCCUGGAUUACCUCCAACAGGUGGCUUGCAGUUCGUCUGGAGCUGAUUGGGAACCUGAUCGUCUUCUUUUCAUCCUUGAUGAUGGUUAUUUAUAGAGAUACCCUAAGUGGGGACACUGUGGGCUUUGUUCUCUCCAAUGCACUCAGUAUCACACAAACCCUGAACUGGCUAGUGAGGAUGACGUCAGAAAUAGAGACCAACAUUGUGGCUGUUGAGCGAAUAAAUGAGUACAUAAACGUGGAAAAUGAGGCACCAUGGGUGACUGAUAAGAGGCCUCCAGAAGGUUGGCCCAGCAAAGGGGAGAUCCAGUUUAGCAACUACCAAGUACGGUAUCGGCCUGAGCUGGAUCUGGUACUGAAGGGGAUCACUUGUGACAUUAAGAGCACUGAGAAGAUUGGCGUGGUGGGCAGGACAGGAGCUGGGAAAUCAUCCUUGACAAACAGCCUUUUCAGAAUCCUAGAGGCUGCAGGAGGCCAGAUCACCAUUGAUGGGGUAGAUAUUGCUUCCAUUGGGCUCCACGACCUCCGAGAGAAACUGACCAUCAUCCCCCAGGAUCCCAUCCUGUUCUCUGGGAGCCUGAGGAUGAAUCUAGACCCUUUCAACAACUACUCAGAUGAGGAGAUUUGGAAGGCCUUGGAGCUUGCUCACCUCAAAUCUUUCGUGGACGGCCUGCAAGCUGGGUUGUCCUACGAAGUGACAGAAGGCGGUGACAACCUGAGCAUAGGGCAAAGGCAGCUACUGUGCCUGGCCAGGGCUCUGCUUCAGAAAUCCAAGAUUCUGAUCAUGGACGAGGCCACUGCUGCGGUGGAUCUAGAGACAGAUCGCCUCAUCCAGACAACCAUCCAAACUGAGUUCUCCCACUGCACGACCAUCACCAUUGCCCACAGGCUACACACCAUCAUGGACAGUGACAAGGUAAUGGUCCUAGACAAUGGGAAGAUUGUAGAGUAUGGCAGCCCUGAAGAACUGCUGAAAAACACUGGCCCCUUCUAUUUUAUGGCCCAAGAAGCUGGCAUUGAAAAUACGAACUGCACAGCAUUCUGACAGCAAGUCUUACAGGUUAGAGAAGGACUAUUAGGAUCAUUCCUUAUUUUUUGUGAAGCAUAUCAUACAUAUAAAAGUGUGUGUAAAAUGUAUGUUUUAAAUAAGGGUCGUAAGUGAACACCCACGUCCCUGCCAGCCAAGAUUUUUUUAAAUGAGUAUUACCAGCUACAUCAGAAAACCCCUGAUGAUCCACUUUGAUCGUACCUCCUUGCUACCCACCCCCCACAAAAAGCACCACCAUCCUAAUUUUUGUGAUAAUUAUUCCUUUGCUUUUUGUUUUAGUUUUACCACUUGCCUUAAACAACAUGUACCAUUUUUUUAGCUUAUGCGAAUGGCCUGACUCAUAUUGCAUGUAUUCUUCUAUGACUUCUUUUGUUCAAUAUUAUAUUUGAGAUUCAUCCACGUCGAUGCGUAAGGCUGGCUCAUUCUCACUGCUCUGUAGUACAGCAGUGUGUGAAAACGUCAGUUUAUCCAAUGUAGGUUGGUCAGCAGUGGGGUUAUUUCCAGGCUUUGUUGUUUUUCCCUGUUAUGAACAGUACUGCUAUGAACAUUCUGGUACAUAAGUCCUAAGAUACAUGUGUAAGAGUUUCUUUAGGCAUAACGUAAAGGAAUGGGAGGUGUGCAUAUGUUUAAAUGCAUAUAGGAGGUAACGCCAAACUGUUAAUGCCAAUUCAAAACAUUUUUGUCAAUCUGAUGAGUAUGAAUUGGUAUCUCCUUGAGGUUUUUAAAUGUAUAGUUCCCUGGUUACCGCUGAGGUUUCCGUAUGCGGUGUCUGCUGGUUCUUGUUCACAGUGCUUUAUUUCCUUGGAUACCCUGUGAAUGUUUACCUUAAAUUGCUCAAUCUCCUUAGCAUUUUUUAAAAAACUGAAGUAUAGCUGAUUUGCAAUAUUGUGUUAGCAUUUUGCCUGUGGACAUUCUUUGAGGCCUGAGUUGAAUCUGAGCUCUCUUAAGAGGAAUUGUGAAAGCUUCUGCCUGCCACCUGGGGGCAUUACCCAGAACCAAUCUGAAUUAAAUACUUCACUAAGGGAUUUCAAACUUUACAGUUAGUGGGACUUCAGACCACAGUCCUGUGCGAGAGCCAGCUUGUGGUUUACAGAAUCUCAAGGGAGCUUCUUCCCCUUGAUCUAGCAGCAGGUUGGAGAUAGAUGUGUGGCCUUGUUGACUCCUUCCACGUGGCGGGGUUUAUUCUUCACUUACUUGUAUACCACAGUACAGCCCUUUCGGGCUCGGGUUCGUCAGAGGGUCUCCUGUAGCUUCUCCAUCUUUGGCAAGCCUUGGCGUUCUCUCUUGCCUCAGUAUCCUCUGUUGUCCACAAAGGUCAAGGUCUCCAGGUUUCAGAAGUCACCCUAAGCCUUGACCCUUCUUCUCCUUCCAGGGUUUCUUGUGUCACAUCACUUUGGGUUCAGCAUAUUCCUUACCUCCAUUUCAGUGAUGCAGUUAUGAAAGAUUUUUAUUUAUUCAUCACUGUAGCUAUUUGUUGAAUGAGAUGUUCAGAGACUUAAACUUCCUAAAUGAGGGGCUUACACAGCUGCAAGGCAGGAUGAGGAAGGGACUUGUUUCCUCCUAUUUGCUCUAUUCCCAUCAGCAUCACUCUAGCAAUGUUGGUUUCCCUGCAGUGGCAGUUUUUCCAAUACUCACAAAACCAGUGUGGUCUUGCCAGCACCAGUGGAGCAGCGCCCCCUUCUGGGAAGUCUGGGUUUCAGUUUCAGUUUUAGUGACGCCAGCCUCUUCCCUUUUGUUCCCGCGGCCCUGUGAUGUUUGCUUCUGCCCUUGCUAGCUCUCUGAUACUUGUUUUCCUUUGGCCCUUUCUUCAAUGCCUAUUUAAUGAUUCUUUAUUAUUGUUCUGUUAAAAUAACCUGUGGUUUUUGUAUCCUGCCUAACCGAAUAGGUACAACCUUGGAGAUAAUCCAGUUCAAGUCCCUUAUUUUUCAGAUAAGCACCAGACUGAGAAUGGUUAUAUGAUAUCUGGAGUCAAAACAUGAGUGUUUAUGGCAGAGCCAGGGCCAGAAACCAACUUCCUGAUUUGAUCUAAUGAUUUCUUCUUUUUCCUAUAAUGGGAGAGGGUUUUCGAUCUACCUUCUCCUGUGGAUGCAGAUGAAGAAGAGGGGAAGCGUUAUCUUUUUCUCAGUAGUGAUGACUCAGACAUCCAGUGAAGGUGGAGGGAACCAGAAGCAGCCUGGAUCCAAAACUUUGAUGAUGACUCCUCCCCUCCAGAUCUUCUGUUGGCCCAGGACCCGGGCUAGCUUCAGCACUGCAGUGGAUUUUCAAUCUUUUGGGCAGCUCUGCACGUGAACCUCAGUUCUACAUGGACUCCUCCAACUUAAGAUUCUUUGUGGGAGACCAGGGUGCAGCACUGUGAUGAGUUUCCAGUAAUCAGAUACACCUGUGCCAGAUUUUGAUUCAGCUGCUGGAGACAAGAAAGAGGGAAAUGUGUUUUGGCAAAGGUGACAGUCACUGUCAUUGUCCAGAAGUAGGCAGGGGUGGUGAUUAGUAGCAGGAUCCAGUGACGUUGUGGUGUGAUACUGAGCAUUGUUCCUGGCUUCAAAGACUCAAAUCGGGCUUUCUUAUCCUCCCAAAGAGUCGGUGAGCAACCUAUUAUUAUUUGAAAACUUCAUUUCUGCUUAAGUUUAUGGCUUGGGGAUUAUUGUGUACACUAAAUAAUGCUCCUCAGCACACUUAAUUUGCUUUUACUGUAUUUAUUUUGUUAGAUAAUUUUCUGUUUGCAUCUCCGUCACUGAGCCUCUUGAAAAUAAUUUACUCUGUUUUAUAUCUCCAGUGGCUAGAAUAUAGUAGCUACUCACUUG
Non-coding RNA from Delphinapterus leucas (beluga whale), 7371 nucleotides. Lineage: Eukaryota; Metazoa; Chordata; Mammalia; Artiodactyla; Monodontidae. The record is from RefSeq and is a predicted model, not a curated record.